RNAcentral lists this ribosomal RNA (598 nucleotides) under uncultured euryarchaeote. Its description in RNAcentral is "bacterial SSU rRNA". It matches the Rfam family "Archaeal small subunit ribosomal RNA", at positions 860 to 1478 of the family's 1478-position model. Lineage: Archaea; Methanobacteriati; Methanobacteriota. The record is from RNAcentral.
AGGAAUUGGCGGGGGAGCACUACAACGGGUGGAGCCUGCGGUUCAAUUGGAUUCAACGCCGGAAAGCUUACCGGGUCAGACAGCAAUAUGAAGGUCAAGCUAAAGACUUUACCGAAUUCGCUGAGAGGAGGUGCAUGGCCGUCGUCAGUUCGUAUCGUGAGACAUCCUGUUAAGUCAGGCAACGAGCAAGACCCGUGCCCACAGUUGCCAGCAUACCCUCCGGGGUGAUGGGCACACUGUGGGGACCGCCGCUGCUAAAGCGGAGGAAGGUGCGGGCUACGGUAGGUCAGUAUGCCCCGAAUCAUCCGGGCUACACGCGGGCUAUAAUGGUUGGGACAAUGGGCACCUACACCGAGAGGUGAUGGUAAUCUCCUAAACCCAGCCUUAGUUCGGAUUGAGGGCUGCAACUCGCCCUCAUGAAGCCGGAAUCCGUAGUAAUCGCGUAUCAAUAUCACGCGGUGAAUACGUCCCUGCUCCUUGCACACACCGCCCGUCAAACCAUGCGAGUGAGGUCUGAAUGAGGGCACGCUUUUUGGCGUGUUCGAAUUUGGCUUCGCGAGUGGGGUUAAGUCGUAACAAGGUAACCUCAGUCAGUCAA